GAUGAAGAACGCAGUGAAAUGCGAUAAGUAGUGUGAAUUGCAGAAUUCAGUGAAUCAUCGAAUCUUUGAACGCACAUUGCGCCCUUUGGUAUUCCAAAGGGCAUGCCUGUUCGAGCGUCAUUUGUACCCUCAAGCUUUGCUUGGUGUUGGGCGUCUUGUCUCUAGCUUUGCUGGAGACUCGCCUUAAAGUAAUUGGCAGCCGGCCUACUGGUUUCGGAGCGCAGCACAAGUCGCACUCUCUAUCAGCAAAGGUCUAGCAUCCAUUAAGCCUUUUUUUCAACUUUUGACCUCGGAUCAGGUAGGGAUACCCGCUGAAAUUAAGCAUAUCAAUAAGCGGAGGA
Molecule: unclassified non-coding RNA, 341 nt
Filed under: soil metagenome
Description: partial contains 5.8S ribosomal RNA, internal transcribed spacer 2, and large subunit ribosomal RNA
Rfam family: 5.8S ribosomal RNA (bases 1-120)
Source: RNAcentral